AAUACAUGCAAGUCGAGCGAACUGAUUAGAAGCUUGCUUCUAUGACGUUAGCGGCGGACGGGUGAGUAACACGUGGGCAACCUGCCUGUAAGACUGGGAUAACUUCGGGAAACCGAAGCUAAUACCGGAUAGGAUCUUCUCCUUCAUGGGAGAUGAUUGAAAGAUGGUUUCGGCUAUCACUUACAGAUGGGCCCGCGGUGCAUUAGCUAGUUGGUGAGGUAACGGCUCACCAAGGCAACGAUGCAUAGCCGACCUGAGAGGGUGAUCGGCCACACUGGGACUGAGACACGGCCCAGACUCCUACGGGAGGCAGCAGUAGGGAAUCUUCCGCAAUGGACGAAAGUCUGACGGAGCAACGCCGCGUGAGUGAUGAAGGCUUUCGGGUCGUAAAACUCUGUUGUUAGGGAAGAACAAGUACGAGAGUAACUGCUCGUACCUUGACGGUACCUAACCAGAAAGCCACGGCUAACUACGUGCCAGCAGCCGCGGUAAUACGUAGGUGGCAAGCGUUAUCCGGAAUUAUUGGGCGUAAAGCGCGCGC
RNAcentral lists this ribosomal RNA (541 nucleotides) under soil bacterium S52D1. RNAcentral describes it as "bacterial SSU rRNA". It matches the Rfam family "Bacterial small subunit ribosomal RNA", at positions 50 to 572 of the family's 1533-position model. The record is from RNAcentral.